This 778-nucleotide ribosomal RNA is filed under the name uncultured Neocallimastigales. Its description in RNAcentral is "partial large subunit ribosomal RNA". It matches the Rfam family "Eukaryotic large subunit ribosomal RNA", at positions 23 to 639 of the family's 3401-position model. Lineage: Eukaryota; Fungi; Neocallimastigomycota; Neocallimastigomycetes; Neocallimastigales. The record is from RNAcentral.
AGAGAGAGACAUGCGCGCAUAUCAAUAAGCGGAGGAAAAGAAACUAACUAGGAUUCCCUCAGUAACGGCGAGUGAAGCGGGAAGAGCUCAAAUUUGAAAUCUUAAAGGGUUCUACCUUGACGAAUUGUAGUUUAAAGAAGUGUUUUCUGUUGGAGGUUUUGGUAAAAGUUCUUUGGAAUAGGACAUCAUAGAGGGUGAGAAUCCCGUAUUUGACCAUUUACUUUCAAGCUUUGUGAUACACUUUCAAAGAGUCGGAUUGUUUGGGAAUGCAGUCCAAAAUGGGUGGUAAAUUUCAUCUAAAGCUAAAUAUUGGCGAGAGACCGAUAGCGAACAAGUACCGUGAGGGAAAGAUGAAAAGAACUUUGAAAAGAGAGUUAUACAGUACGUGAAAUUGUCAAAAGGGAAGCGUUUGACACCAGUGUUGUUUUCUCGAAAAUCAAUUAAAAAAGGCAGGAUUUUGUGUUGUAUUGACUUUAUCAGCUUUCUGCACUCUUUUCUUGUCUUUUUUAAUGCACUUUUCGUUUAACAAGUCAACAUCAAUUUCUUUUGUUGUAAAAGGGUCAUUGGAAGGUGGCUUUCUUUUCGGAGAAAGUGUUUAUAGCCUUUGGCCUCUGCAAUCGGAGAGAUUGAGGUCUGCAGCGUAGAUCCUUCGGGGUUAGAUACAUUUGUGCUAAGUUAUAGCCUUUCAUAGACAACUUGUUGACUAUGAUCAGUCAUGUAGCUUACUCGCUUAUGCUAUUUUACCUACGCUUAGGAUGUUGAUGUGAUACUGCGAGCA